UUAAAUUGAAGAGUUUGAUCAUGGCUCAGAUUGAACGCUGGCGGCAGGCCUAACACAUGCAAGUCGAACGGUAACAGGAAGCAGCUUGCUGCUUUGCUGACGAGUGGCGGACGGGUGAGG
RNAcentral lists this ribosomal RNA (120 nucleotides) under Escherichia coli. Its description in RNAcentral is "partial 16S ribosomal RNA". It matches the Rfam family "Bacterial small subunit ribosomal RNA", at positions 1 to 111 of the family's 1533-position model. The record is from RNAcentral. Lineage: Bacteria; Pseudomonadati; Pseudomonadota; Gammaproteobacteria; Enterobacterales; Enterobacteriaceae.